GGGGCUGUUUGGUUUUGACAGCAUGUAGAGUGGGCGUGUAAGCAUGUCGAGCGAUGUUAUCACGGCUCGUAAAUCCCGGAUUUCACUAAAUUUAACUGGCAACAACAACUAUGCACUCGCUGCUUAAACCGAAGUACAGUAGGUUAGCUUUAUUUUAGCACAAGGUGCUGAAACGAGUCAUCUCCCCAAUGCCGUUUCUCUGAGGCUUUUGGAACCGGAGGUGCAGGAAUAUCGGAGAUAGCCCUCGCAGGCCCUGAUGUGGAGGCGAAUCCUAAAAGGGAUAAGGCGCAGGUUGGUGGCUUCGGUCUUGCCGGCGCACGAAAAUCAAGGCGAAGAUAAGCAUGUAGAAAG
Molecule: transfer-messenger RNA, 351 nt
Filed under: Bacteroidales bacterium
Lineage: Bacteria; Pseudomonadati; Bacteroidota; Bacteroidia; Bacteroidales
Description: partial transfer-messenger RNA
Rfam family: transfer-messenger RNA
About the family: Bacterial tmRNA, also known as 10Sa RNA or SsrA, is named for its dual tRNA and mRNA-like properties. Its role is to liberate the mRNA from a stalled ribosome.
Source: RNAcentral